GAAGGUGUGUCGUGAGGCAUGCUGGAGGUAUCAGAAGUGCGAAUGCUGACAUAAGUAACGAUAAAGCGGGUGAAAAGCCCGCUCGCCGGAAGACCAAGGGUUCCUGUCCAACGUUAAUCGGGGCAGGGUGAGUCGACCCCUAAGGCGAGGCCGAAAGGCGUAGUCGAUGGGAAACGGGUUAAUAUUCCCGUACUUGGUGUUACUGCGAAGGGGGGACGGAGAAGGCUAUGUUGGCCGGGCGACGGUUGUCCCGGUUUAAGCGUGUAGGUGUGUGUUCCAGGUAAAUCCGGUUCACUUUAACACUGAGGCGUGACGACGAGGCACUACGGUGCUGAAGCAACAAAUGCCCUGCUUCCAGGAAAAGCCUCUAAGCAUCAGGUAACAUCAAAUCGUACCCCAAACCGACACAGGUGGUCAGGUAGAGAAUACCAAGGCGCUUGAGAGAACUCGGGUGAAGGAACUAGGCAAAAUGGUGCCGUAACUUCGGGAGAAGGCACGCUGACACGUAGGUGAAGUGAUUUACUCAUGGAGCUGAAGUCAGUCGAAGAUACCAGCUGGCUGCAACUGUUUAUUAAAAACACAGCACUGUGCAAACACGAAAGUGGACGUAUACGGUGUGACGCCUGCCCGGUGCCGGAAGGUUAAUUGAUGGGGUCAGCGCAAGCGAAGCUCCUGAUCGAAGCCCCGGUAAACGGCGGCCGUAACUAUAACGGUCCUAAGGUAGCGAAAUUCCUUGUCGGGUAAGUUCCGACCUGCACGAAUGGCGUAAUGAUGGCCAGGCUGUCUCCACCCGAGACUCAGUGAAAUUGAACUCGCUGUGAAGAUGCAGUGUACCCGCGGCAAGACGGAAAGACCCCGUGAACCUUUACUAUAGCUUGACACUGAACAUUGAGCCUUGAUGUGUAGGAUAGGUGGGAGGCUUUGAAGUGUGGACGCCAGUCUGCAUGGAGCCGACCUUGAAAUACCACCCUUUAAUGUUUGAUGUUCUAACGUGGACCCGUUACCCGGGUUGCGGACAGUGUCUGGUGGGUAGUUUGACUGGGGCGGUCUCCUCCUAAAGAGUAACGGAGGAGCACGAAGGUUGGCUAAUCCUGGUCGGACAUCAGGAGGUUAGUGCAAUGGCAUAAGCCAGCUUGACUGCGAGCGUGACGGCGCGAGCAGGUGCGAAAGCAGGUCAUAGUGAUCCGGUGGUUCUGAAUGGAAGGGCCAUCGCUCAACGGAUAAAAGGUACUCCGGGGAUAACAGGCUGAUACCGCCCAAGAGUUCAUAUCGACGGCGGUGUUUGGCACCUCGAUGUCGGCUCAUCACAUCCUGGGGCUGAAGUAGGUCCCAAGGGUAUGGCUGUUCGCCAUUUAAAGUGGUACGCGAGCUGGGUUUAGAACGUCGUGAGACAGUUCGGUCCCUAUCUGCCGUGGGCGCUGGAGAACUGAGGGGGGCUGCUCCUAGUACGAGAGGACCGGAGUGGACGCAUCACUGGUGUUCGGGUUGUCAUGCCAAUGGCACUGCCCGGUAGCUAAAUGCGGAAGAGAUAAGUGCUGAAAGCAUCUAAGCACGAAACUUGCCCCGAG
This 1568-nucleotide ribosomal RNA is filed under the name Salmonella enterica. RNAcentral describes it as "partial 23S ribosomal RNA". It matches the Rfam family "Bacterial large subunit ribosomal RNA", at positions 1252 to 2803 of the family's 2925-position model. Lineage: Bacteria; Pseudomonadati; Pseudomonadota; Gammaproteobacteria; Enterobacterales; Enterobacteriaceae. RNAcentral also lists the same sequence under 2 other names. The record is from RNAcentral.